Non-coding RNA from Potamilus streckersoni, 73 nucleotides. Lineage: Eukaryota; Metazoa; Mollusca; Bivalvia; Unionida; Unionidae. The record is from the annotation of a GenBank genome assembly.
GCUCCGGUAGCCAAGUGGUUAAAACGUCCACCUCGGAUGUGGGAGGUCAUGGGUUCGAUCCUCGGUCGAGUCA